Molecule: ribosomal RNA, 484 nt
Filed under: uncultured bacterium
Lineage: Bacteria
Description: bacterial SSU rRNA
Rfam family: Bacterial small subunit ribosomal RNA
Source: RNAcentral
GAUCCUGGCUCAGGACGAACGCUGGCGGCGUGCUUAACACAUGCAAGUCGAACGGGAGUAUUGAAGAAGCUUGCUUAGAGAUACUUUAGUGGCGGACGGGUGAGUAACGCGUGAGGAGCUGUCCUAUGCAGGGGGACAACAGCUGGAAACGGCUGCUAAUACCCCAUAAGCCGAGAGGUAAAAGGAUCAAUCCGGCAGAGGAGGUACUCGCGUCCUAUCAGCUAGUAGGUGAGGUAACGGCUCACCUAGGCGAAGACGGGUAGCCGGCCUGAGAGGGCGAACGGCCACACUGGAACUGAGAUACGGUCCAGACUCCUACGGGAGGCAGCAGUGGGGAAUAUUGGGCAAUGGGGGGAAAAACCCCCUGACCCAGCGACGCCGCGUGGGUGAAGAAAUCCUUCGGGAUGUAAAGCCCUGUUGUAUGGGAAGAGCGGAAGACGGUACCAUACGAGGAAGCCCCGGCAAACUACGUGCCAGCCGCUGC